AGCGAACGCUGGCGGCAGGCUUAACACAUGCAAGUCGAGCGCCCCGCAAGGGGAGCGGCAGACGGGAGAGUAACACGUGGGAACAUACCUUUUGGUUCGGAACAACUGAGGGACACUUCAGCUAAUACCGGAUAAGCCCUUACGGGGAAAGAUUUAUCGCCGAAAGAUUGGCCCGCGUCUGAUUAGCUAGUUGGUGAGGUAACGGCCCACCAAGGCGACGAUCAGUAGCUGGUCUGAGAGGAUGACCAGCCUCACUGGGACUGAGACACGGCCCGGACCCUUGGGGAGGGGGGCGGGGGGGAAUGUGGGACGAGGGGGGAGACCAGAAGCCAGCCGGGCCGGGGAGGUAGGGAGGGAGUUAGGAUUGAAAGGUUGUUUGGCAAGGGAAAAAAGUGACGGUACCGGAAAAGAAAGCCCCGGCUAACUACGUG
Molecule: ribosomal RNA, 431 nt
Filed under: uncultured bacterium
Lineage: Bacteria
Description: partial 16S ribosomal RNA
Rfam family: Bacterial small subunit ribosomal RNA
Source: RNAcentral